This is a long non-coding RNA of Gymnogyps californianus (California condor), 971 nucleotides long. RefSeq lists it as uncharacterized. NCBI's taxonomy places the organism in Eukaryota, Metazoa, Chordata, Aves, Accipitriformes, Cathartidae. The transcript is spliced from 2 exons. The record is from RefSeq and is a predicted model, not a curated record.
CGUGGAGGGAUCCUAGAAAACCAUCUCACACCCGGAGAAGGGCUGGAUGGGGGGGAAUUAUGGCUGGAGAAAUAACUCUUGGGACUGAUUUAGAUUAAACUAGCAGAUUCCCCAGGCUGAACCCCUCCGCUGGGCUGAAUUUAGCAGCAGAAGAGAUAACCGGGAGAUAAGGACUGAUACCCAGGAGGACAGCGGGAGACCGGCAGGCAGCCGAGGAAGGGGGGAGAAGCCAGAGGCAGCGUUGGGAAGGGCUGCGUAUCCAGAUGUGCUGGGUUUCGGACACGCAUCUCCUUCUCCACGCCUUGCAAAAUCCCUGGCGAUUUUCUCUACCAAAGCAGCGCUUUGCUGAAGCUUCGUCGAAUUCCUACUGAAUAUCAGCGCUUUCCUUAAAAAAAGAAAGCAAAAACCCCAUUAAAACCGAUUAAAACCGCCCGAGCAGCUCUACCAGGAGCAGAGAUGAUUUCAAGGACCUGCCUUUGGCUUUGCCUCUUCCAGGAAAAAACACACACACACACAAAAAAAACCCCCCGUGGUCGGUUUUGCGUGUGCGUGGCCGGAUCCAGCCUCUUUCCCCGGGGAAAUCUCGGUCCUUGGUCCUUGUGCCCAGCAUCGCGUCGCGGGGGGUGCGCACCCCGAAAAAGCAAUGAUGCCGUGAGGAGCUGAGCCGAGCCCCAGCCUGGUAUAAACUACCCAGCCGGGAGGGAGAGGAUGGAUUUCGGACACUUUUUUAUCCCGAAAAAAAGCAGAGGAUGGGACACAGAAGAGUGCGGUGACAAUGAAAAAAAAAAAUCUCUGCUCUGCACUCGGAGGAGCUUUUUUUCCCUGCGAUUACAGAGUGCUCUCGCCCGCAAAGCGAAGCGCUUAACGAAACCUGGCUGAAAAUAACCCUGCGGAACAAACCUCGGCCUUUCUACUUUCCUUUCCAGCCCCCUCUUCUCCUCCAGGGAGGAAAUAAAUCGAUACGAUGCCGG